RNAcentral lists this ribosomal RNA (498 nucleotides) under uncultured bacterium. RNAcentral describes it as "partial 16S ribosomal RNA". It matches the Rfam family "Bacterial small subunit ribosomal RNA", at positions 28 to 523 of the family's 1533-position model. The record is from RNAcentral.
GACGAACGCUGGCGGCGCGCCUAACACAUGCAAGUCGAGCGGAGAUAUUUGAAGGAAGUUUUCGGAUGGAAUUUGGGUAUUUUAGCGGCGGACGGGUGAGUAACGCGUGAGUGACCUGCCUUCCACAGGGGGAUAACGUACCGAAAGGUACACUAAUACCGCAUGAGACCACAGCACUGCCUGGUGCAGGGGUCAAAGGAGCAAUCCGGUGGAAGAUGGACUCGCGUCCGAUUAGAUAGUUGGUGGGGUAACGGCCUACCAAGUAAGCGAUCGGUAGCCGACCUGAGAGGGUGAUCGGCCACAUUGGAACUGAGAGACGGUCCAAACUCCUACGGGAGGCAGCAGUGGGGAAUAUUGGGCAAUGGGGGAAACCCUGACCCAGCGACGCCGCGUGAGGGAAGAAGGUUUUCGGAUUGUAAACCUCUGUUCUUGGUGAAGAGGGAAAGACGGUAGCCAAGGAGGAAGCCCCGGCUAACUACGUGCCAGCAGCCGCGGUAA